GUCAGGAUGGCCGAGUGGUCUAAGGCGCUGCGUUCAGGUCGCAGUCCACUUCUUGUGGGCGUGGGUUCGAAUCCCACUUCUGGCA
Molecule: transfer RNA, 85 nt
Filed under: Caerostris darwini
Lineage: Eukaryota; Metazoa; Arthropoda; Arachnida; Araneae; Araneidae
Description: tRNA-Leu
Rfam family: tRNA
About the family: Transfer RNA (tRNA) molecules are approximately 80 nucleotides in length. Their secondary structure includes four short double-helical elements and three loops (D, anti-codon, and T loops).
Source: RNAcentral